CAGUGGACCUCUGCGUUUGAGGCGUAGCAUUCUUCUGCCGGCGCCGUGGAUGUUUUUCCUUUACGUAUGUCCGUUUUGUGCUCGUUUGGUCGUUCUUCUGGUGUUCGCCCUGUGGCCCCUAUGUGUUUCUUUUCCGGGUUGUUGGUUUUGUCACUUAUUGGGAUGCUGUAUACUCCAGAUUUGUAUUUAUCCUCUAGCCUAUCUUUGCUGUUUCGAGGGUGCGCAGGGGUGGAGGGGUUUCGUCUUGUGGCGAGUUUCUUGUUCGCUAGGUGAAGAGCUUUUUUAGUAGCUGGAUGUUUCACUGGAUGGUGAGGUGUUGCAGCAUAAUCGUCAUUGGUGCU
This 341-nucleotide long non-coding RNA is filed under the name Androctonus crassicauda. The record is from RNAcentral. Lineage: Eukaryota; Metazoa; Arthropoda; Arachnida; Scorpiones; Buthidae.